RNAcentral lists this ribosomal RNA (2889 nucleotides) under Enterobacter sp. DKU_NT_01. Its description in RNAcentral is "bacterial LSU rRNA". It matches the Rfam family "Bacterial large subunit ribosomal RNA". Lineage: Bacteria; Pseudomonadati; Pseudomonadota; Gammaproteobacteria; Enterobacterales; Enterobacteriaceae. The record is from RNAcentral.
ACUAAGCGUACACGGUGGAUGCCCUGGCAGUCAGAGGCGAUGAAGGACGUGCUAAUCUGCGAAAAGCGCCGGCGAGGUGAUAUGAACCCUUGACCCGGCGAUGUCCGAAUGGGGAAACCCAGUGCAAUUCGUUGCACUAUCGUUAACUGAAUACAUAGGUUAACGAGGCGAACCGGGGGAACUGAAACAUCUAAGUACCCCGAGGAAAAGAAAUCAACCGAGAUUCCCCCAGUAGCGGCGAGCGAACGGGGAGCAGCCCGGAGUCUGAAUCAGCUUGUGUGUUAGUGGAACGGUCUGGAAAGUCCGACGGUACAGGGUGAUAGUCCCGUACACGAAAAUGCACAUGCUGUGAACUCGAAGAGUAGGGCGGGACACGUGGUAUCCUGUCUGAAUAUGGGGGACCAUCCUCCAAGGCUAAAUACUCCUGACUGACCGAUAGUGAACCAGUACCGUGAGGGAAAGGCGAAAAGAACCCCGGCGAGGGAGUGAAAAAGAACCUGAAACCGUGUACGUACAAGCAGUGGGAGCCUCUUUAUGGGGUGACUGCGUACCUUUUGUAUAAUGGGUCAGCGACUUAUAUUCUGUAGCAAGGUUAACCGUAUAGGGGAGCCGAAGGGAAACCGAGUCUUAACUGGGCGUUAAGUUGCAGGGUAUAGACCCGAAACCCGGUGAUCUAGCCAUGGGCAGGUUGAAGGUUGGGUAACACUAACUGGAGGACCGAACCGACUAAUGUUGAAAAAUUAGCGGAUGACCUGUGGCUGGGGGUGAAAGGCCAAUCAAACCGGGAGAUAGCUGGUUCUCCCCGAAAGCUAUUUAGGUAGCGCCUCGUGAACUCAUCUUCGGGGUAGAGCACUGUUUCGGCUAGGGGGCCAUCCCGGCUUACCAACCCGAUGCAAACUACGAAUACCGAAGAAUGUUAUCACGGGAGACACACGGCGGGUGCUAACGUCCGUCGUGAAGAGGGAAACAACCCAGACCGCCAGCUAAGGUCCCAAAGUCAUGGUUAAGUGGGAAACGAUGUGGGAAGGCACAGACAGCCAGGAUGUUGGCUUAGAAGCAGCCAUCAUUUAAAGAAAGCGUAAUAGCUCACUGGUCGAGUCGGCCUGCGCGGAAGAUGUAACGGGGCUAAACCAUGCACCGAAGCUGCGGCAGCGACGCUUAUGCGUUGUUGGGUAGGGGAGCGUUCUGUAAGCCGUUGAAGGUGUGCUGUGAGGCAUGCUGGAGGUAUCAGAAGUGCGAAUGCUGACAUAAGUAACGAUAAAGCGGGUGAAAAGCCCGCUCGCCGGAAGACCAAGGGUUCCUGUCCAACGUUAAUCGGGGCAGGGUGAGUCGACCCCUAAGGCGAGGCCGAAAGGCGUAGUCGAUGGGAAACAGGUUAAUAUUCCUGUACUUGGUGUUACUGCGAAGGGGGACGGAGAAGGCUAUGUCAGCCGGGCGACGGUUGUCCCGGUUUAAGCAUGUAGGCGGAGGUUCCAGGUAAAUCCGGUACCUUUUAACGCUGAGGUGUGAUGACGAGGCACUACGGUGCUGAAGUGAUAAAUGCCCUGCUUCCAGGAAAAGCCUCUAAGCAUCAGGUAACAUCAAAUCGUACCCCAAACCGACACAGGUGGUCAGGUAGAGAAUACCAAGGCGCUUGAGAGAACUCGGGUGAAGGAACUAGGCAAAAUGGUGCCGUAACUUCGGGAGAAGGCACGCUGAUGUGUAGGUGAAGCCCCUGCGGGCGGAGCUGAAAUCAGUCGAAGAUACCAGCUGGCUGCAACUGUUUAUUAAAAACACAGCACUGUGCAAACACGAAAGUGGACGUAUACGGUGUGACGCCUGCCCGGUGCCGGAAGGUUAAUUGAUGGGGUUAGCGGCAACGCGAAGCUCUUGAUCGAAGCCCCGGUAAACGGCGGCCGUAACUAUAACGGUCCUAAGGUAGCGAAAUUCCUUGUCGGGUAAGUUCCGACCUGCACGAAUGGCGUAAUGAUGGCCAGGCUGUCUCCACCCGAGACUCAGUGAAAUUGAACUCGCUGUGAAGAUGCAGUGUACCCGCGGCAAGACGGAAAGACCCCGUGAACCUUUACUAUAGCUUGACACUGAACACUGGUCCUUGAUGUGUAGGAUAGGUGGGAGGCUUUGAAGCGUGGACGCCAGUCUGCGUGGAGCCGACCUUGAAAUACCACCCUUUAAUGGCUGGUGUUCUAACGUAGACCCGUAAUCCGGGUUGCGGACAGUGUCUGGUGGGUAGUUUGACUGGGGCGGUCUCCUCCCAAAGAGUAACGGAGGAGCACGAAGGUUGGCUAAUCCUGGUCGGACAUCAGGAGGUUAGUGCAAUGGCAUAAGCCAGCUUGACUGCGAGCGUGACGGCGCGAGCAGGUGCGAAAGCAGGUCAUAGUGAUCCGGUGGUUCUGAAUGGAAGGGCCAUCGCUCAACGGAUAAAAGGUACUCCGGGGAUAACAGGCUGAUACCGCCCAAGAGUUCAUAUCGACGGCGGUGUUUGGCACCUCGAUGUCGGCUCAUCACAUCCUGGGGCUGAAGUAGGUCCCAAGGGUAUGGCUGUUCGCCAUUUAAAGUGGUACGCGAGCUGGGUUUAGAACGUCGUGAGACAGUUCGGUCCCUAUCUGCCGUGGGCGCUGGAGAAUUGAGGGGGCUGCUCCUAGUACGAGAGGACCGGAGUGGACGCAUCACUGGUGUUCGGGUUGUCAUGCCAAUGGCACUGCCCGGUAGCUAAAUGCGGAAGAGAUAAGUGCUGAAAGCAUCUAAGCACGAAACUUGCCCCGAGAUGAGUUCUCCCUGAGACUUUAAGUCUCCUGAAGGAACGUUGAAGACGACGACGUUGAUAGGUCGGGUGUGUAAGCGCAGCGAUGCGUUGAGCUAACCGAUACUAAUGAACCGUGAGGCUUAACC